Molecule: ribosomal RNA, 733 nt
Filed under: uncultured Alphaproteobacteria bacterium
Lineage: Bacteria; Pseudomonadati; Pseudomonadota; Alphaproteobacteria
Description: bacterial SSU rRNA
Rfam family: Bacterial small subunit ribosomal RNA
Source: RNAcentral
CUUCGGGUACUGGAGAGUGGCGCACGGGUGAGUAACGCGUGGGGACCUACCUCUUAGUGGGGGAUAACGGUUGGAAACGACCGCUAAUACCGCAUACGCCCUUCGGGGGAAAGAUUUAUCGCUAAGAGAUGGACCCGCGUUGGAUUAGAUAGUUGGUGAGGUAACGGCUCACCAAGUCGGCGAUCCAUAGCUGGUUUGAGAGGAUGAUCAGCCACACUGGGACUGAGACACGGCCCAGACUCCUACGGGAGGCAGCAGUGGGGAAUAUUGGACAAUGGGGGCAACCCUGAUCCAGCCAUGCCGCGUGAGUGAAGAAGGCCUUCGGGUUGUAAAGCUCCUUCAGAUGCGAAGAUGAUGACGGCAACAUCAGAAGAAGCCCCGGCUAAUUUCGUGCCAGCAGCCGCGGUAAUACAAAAGGGGCUAGCGUUGUUCGGAUUUACUGGGCGUAAAGGGCACGCAGGCGGUCUUGCCAGUCAGGGGUGAAAGCCCGGGGCUCAACCCCGGAACUGCCUCUGAUACUGCAAGACUAGAGACUAGGAGAGGGUGGUGGAAUUCCCCGUGUACAGGUGAAAUUCGUAUAUAUUGGGAGGAACACCAGAGGCGAAGGCAGCCUCCUGGAACUAAUUUGACGCUCAGGUGCGAAAGCGUGGGGAGCAAACCGGAUUUGAUUCCCCGGGUAGUCCCAGCCCGUAAACAAUGAGGGCUAAUUGGUUGGGAUUUCCUUUUUCCGUGA